UUAGAGUUUGAUCCUGGCUCAGGACGAACGCUGGCGGCGUGCCUAACACAUGCAAGUCGAACGGAGUCGGCCCCGCAAGGGACUGACUUAGUGGCGAACGGGUGAGUAACGCGUGAGCAACCUGCCUUUCAGUGGGGGACAACAGUUGGAAACGACUGCUAAUACCGCAUAAUGUAUUGAGAUCGCAUGAUUUUGAUACCAAAGAUUUAUUGCUGAAAGAUGGGCUCGCGUCUGAUUAGCUAGAUGGCGGGGUAACGGCCCACCAUGGCGACGAUCAGUAGCCGGUCUGAGAGGAUGAACGGCCACAUUGGGACUGAGAUACGGCCCAGACUCCUACGGGAGGCAGCAGUGGGGAAUAUUGGGCAAUGGGGGAAACCCUGACCCAGCAACGCCGCGUGAAGGAUGACUGCCCUAUGGGUUGUAAACUGCUUUUAUAUAAGAGGAACAGUAUUUAUGUAUAGAUAUUUGCCAGUAUUAUAUGAAUAAGGAUCGGCUAACUCCGUGCCAGCAGCCGCGGUAAUACGGAGGAUCCGAGCGUUAUCCGGAUUUAUUGGGUUUAAAGGGUGAGCAGGCGGUAGUAUAAGUCAGCGGUGAAAACUUGCAGCUCAACUGUAAGCUUGCCGUUGAAACUGUAUUACUUGAGUUAAGUUGAGGUAUGCGGAAUGUGGUGUGUAGCGGUGAAAUGCAUAGAUAUACCACAGAACGUCGAUUGCGAAGGCAGCAUACUAAGUUUAUACUGACGCUGAUGCACGAAAGCGUGGGGAUCAAACAGGAUUAGAUACCCUGGUAGUCCACGCCGUAAACUAUGAUUACUCGUUGUUUGCGAUAUACUGUAAGCGACUGCGCGAAAGCAUUAAGUAAUCCACCUGGGGAGUACGUUGGCAACAAUGAAACUCAAAGGAAUUGACGGGGGCCCGCACAAGCGGAGGAACAUGUGGUUUAAUUCGAUGAUACGCGAGGAACCUUACCUGGGCUUAAAUGGGAAGUGACGGUAGUGGAAACACUACUUUCUUCGGACACUUUUCAAGGUGCUGCAUGGUUGUCGUCAGCUCGUGCCGUGAGGUGUCGGGUUAAGUCCCAUAACGAGUGCAACCCUUGUCGAUAGUUGCCAGCAUGUAAUGAUGGGGACUCUAUCGAGACUGCCGGUGUAAACCGUGAGGAAGGUGGGGAUGACGUCAAAUCAGCACGGCCCUUACGUCCAGGGCUACACACGUGUUACAAUGGUCGGUACAAUGGGCAGCUACUCAGCGAUGAGAUGCUAAUCUUCAAAACCGAUCUCAGUUCGGAUCGGAGUCUGCAACUCGACUCCGUGAAGCUGGAUUCGCUAGUAAUCGCAUAUCAGCCAUGAUGCGGUGAAUACGUUCCCGGGCCUUGCACUCACCGCCCGUCAAG
Molecule: ribosomal RNA, 1392 nt
Filed under: uncultured bacterium
Lineage: Bacteria
Description: bacterial SSU rRNA
Rfam family: Bacterial small subunit ribosomal RNA
Source: RNAcentral